RNAcentral lists this unclassified non-coding RNA (161 nucleotides) under soil metagenome. Its description in RNAcentral is "partial contains 5.8S ribosomal RNA, internal transcribed spacer 2, and large subunit ribosomal RNA". The record is from RNAcentral.
AACCAUAGAAACCUGCGGAGUACCUGCGGAGGGAUCAUUAUAAAAUUUUUUACAAUUAUUGUAUUCAAAACCCAUACUCUUAAAAUCAAAAAAAAAUUUUUUAUAUAAAAAUUUUUUUAAAUAAAAAAUAAUAAAAAAAGACAACUUUUAACAACGGAUCU